This 22-nucleotide unclassified non-coding RNA is filed under the name Arabidopsis thaliana (thale cress). The record is from RNAcentral. Lineage: Eukaryota; Viridiplantae; Streptophyta; Magnoliopsida; Brassicales; Brassicaceae.
AUUCUCAGCAUCCAAAGCUGCC